Paramuricea clavata is the source of this 282-nucleotide non-coding RNA. The record is from the annotation of a GenBank genome assembly. Lineage: Eukaryota; Metazoa; Cnidaria; Anthozoa; Malacalcyonacea; Plexauridae.
UUUUACUUUGGUUGCUAAAUAAAUACGCACUUCUUCCAGGGAUGGAUUUACUGGGGGUGCGGGGGGCCCUAGCCAUGGCCAGGGGGUGCUAUUUUUCAUGAUAAAGCAAAAAAUUAUUAGAGACAAAAUGAGAUUCAGUAAUUUGAGUAAUACCAUGAUGACAAGCAAACUGUGAACAAUAAUUACAAUUCAAAUACUGUAGUCAAGCAAGACUUUGCAGUAGUGGAGCAAGUUGAUGGACGACUAAAGUAACUGGAAAGCAAUUGCAACGUACUCGUCCGG